UUGCUUGGGUGAAUAGAAAUGAAGAAACACAAAAGAAAGCUGCCAAUUGGAUAUGGGUAUUGUAGCUGAAACGUCUUGCGAGCUGAGUCAGGGUCGGGGAAGCUGUGAUGGCAAUGAGAAGUCAACACACUGAGGAUGGAGAGAAAGAAGAUGAGUCUGGGAGAGAAAGAGAAUGAUUCUUCUGGCCGAGGGAAAGCAAGAAUAUCUGUUCCUGCAACUGCACUGAUUCUAGAAACACUCUCUAUUCGAACUCUCAUGAGAUGAAAAAACUGAGGUAUAGGAUGAUACAACUGGGCCAGGCAUGGUGGCUCACAUCUGUAAUACCAGCACUUUGGGAGGCCAAGGGAGGAGGAUCACUUGAACCCAGGUGUUUGAGACCAGCCUGAGAAAAACAGGAAGAACUCAUCUCUACAAAAAAAUUAUCUAGUGCUGACCUGCUUGGUGAAUGCUGGGAUCUCUGGAAGAGGGAGGCAGACAUCACACACCAGCUGGCAAGUGGGAGCUGGCAUGCAACAUGCCCCAAUACCACUCCCCU
Molecule: long non-coding RNA, 535 nt
Filed under: Homo sapiens (human)
Lineage: Eukaryota; Metazoa; Chordata; Mammalia; Primates; Hominidae
Description: non-protein coding LINC01630:15
Source: RNAcentral